RNAcentral lists this ribosomal RNA (457 nucleotides) under uncultured bacterium. RNAcentral describes it as "bacterial SSU rRNA". It matches the Rfam family "Bacterial small subunit ribosomal RNA", at positions 340 to 789 of the family's 1533-position model. The record is from RNAcentral.
UACGGAAGGCAGCAGUGGGGAAUAUUGCACAAUGGGCGAAAGCCUGAUGCAGCUAUGCCGCGUGUAUGAAGAAGGCCUUAGGGUUGUAAAGUACUUUCAUCGGGGAGGAAAAACAAAACUAAUAAUUUUAUUUCUUGACGUUACCCGAAAAAGAAGCACCGGCUAACUCCGUGCCAGCAGCCGCGGUAAUACGGAGGGUGCUAGCGUUAAUCAGAAUUACUGGGCGUAAAGAGCACGUAGGUGGUUUUUUUAAAGUCAGAUGUGAAAUCCCUGGGCUUAACCUGGAACUGCAUUUUGAAACUGAAAUACUAGAGUAUCGUAGAGGGAGGUAGAAUUCUAGGUGUAGCGGUGAAAUGCGUAGAUAUCUGGAGGAUACCUGUGGCGAAAGCGGCCUCCUAAACGAAUACUGACACUGAGGUGCGAAAGCGUGGGGAGCAAACAGGGAUUAGAUACCCGU